RNAcentral lists this ribosomal RNA (103 nucleotides) under Staphylococcus aureus. Lineage: Bacteria; Bacillati; Bacillota; Bacilli; Caryophanales; Staphylococcaceae. The record is from RNAcentral.
UGGUGACUAUAGCAAGGAGGUCACACCUGUUCCCAUGCCGAACACAGAAGUUAAGCUCCUUAGCGUCGAUGGUAGUCGACCGCAAGGUCUCUUUUUUUAUGUC